RNA transcript from Triticum aestivum (bread wheat), 2139 nucleotides. RefSeq lists it as uncharacterized. The transcript has 5 exons. The record is from RefSeq and is a predicted model, not a curated record. Lineage: Eukaryota; Viridiplantae; Streptophyta; Magnoliopsida; Poales; Poaceae.
CCCCCCCCCCGCCCCCAGGCCUCCAUCUCCAUUCCUGCGCGCGUCGGCCACCUCCCUCCGGCGGAGCUCGACCCCCACCCCCAAGCCCAGCCGCUCCACCCUCUCCUGUACCCAUCCACAGAUCGAGCAAGGGGUGAGGGAGCGCCCAGAUCCACCACCCUACCAAAACGAGAUACAACACCAGAUCCCUCCUUCUUCCUGACUUCUGGCACCGUCGCAGCCACCUUUUACGUCGCGGCUCUCCUACUUUGUCUAGCCUCGCGUCCACGCCUCCCCUGCCCCUCGCCCCUCGUGCCCACGCCUCCCCUGCCUCUUGUCGGACUCACCAUCCUAUGCUGCACCAAGGAGAUGGGCGUGUGUGAGUCCGCCCUCUCGGGGGAGGCAGAGGGGCACCGUGGCGGUGAUGGGGAAUAAGAUCGCAGGACAACGCAGGCCUCGGCGAUGCAGUCCUACCUGCACGAGCUGCCCUCCACCUACAACCUCGUGAUGCUUGACCUCGUCAGGCGUGGCCGCCUCCUCUACAAGCACAAUGAGGGCCGCCUUCUCGUCAAGAUCUACUUCAAGCGCGCCGGAGAGCCCCUCGAGCUCAAGGACCAUGAUUCGGAGGCUGGAGCAGAUCCGGAGGGUGUUCCAGGGACUCGAGGGCUCCCAUAUCUGGCCCUUCCAGUGUUUAAUUUUUCAUAGUCAGGUUGUAAUAAUUUUCAACUUGCAGUCAGGUUGCCUUGCUCUCAGUCACUUGGUAGUUUUAUAAAUGUUAUCACUUUGAUUCUAUCGUCCGCCUGGCUCAGAGGAUGAAGAUAAGGAACACAAAGCAGAGUCACCGCCGGAUUCGAGGGUGGAGCCCGAGCCUCCACUGGAGCAUGAAUCAGACGUGCAGGAGGUGGAGCUCCGCAUGGAUCAUGACAUGGUCGUCGCGGGGGCAAGGAUCAUCAAGUCUGCAGGCGGCAUCAGGGGAGGUGCAGUGCCAGCUGCUGGACAUGGUUCACCCUGGGUUGCUGCUGAUGCACAAGGUGAAUUUCGAUGCCAAGACGGAGUAUGAAAUGAUUGAGAACUACAAGAUUCUCCUGGAUGUGUUCAACAAGCUGUAGAUAGGCAAGGUACAGUGGUGAUUCUCCUGGCUUAGCUCUCUACCUGUGGAUUUAUCCGUGAUUGUGUCUUGCAUUUUGUCAUCUGGGAAAGCAAAGGUGAUUUGUCUAUAUAGUAGUUUGGUUUAUAUAUGCCGUGUGUGGGGAUUCAGUCUGGAACAGUCGUGUGUGAUUGAUGUCAACAUGUGGUAUAGCCACAAGAUGAUUCGAUAACUGACUAAAUUUGUUGUGCACUACUGAAGUUAUCCUCAUUGCUGUGUAUAGUACUAAACUUGUACAAUUCUUGUCCUUUUUCCACACAACAUUAAGAUUAGAGUCGUGCUUUCUGAAUGUUUUGCCAAUUUUUAUGUCCUGUGAGCUAGCAAACUGAGCUACGGGUGCUUCAUCUCUGUCCUUCAGCUUCUAUACUUAUGACAAUUAAAUAGAGGAUCUAUUUUGCUCCCUGCUCUGAUUGGUUUCAAUCGAUAUUUGUCUCAUCUAGCACUCUGAGUAUCAGUAUGUUGUUUUAACCCUGAUUAUGACGUGGUAGUAUAAAGUGGACACCAUAUUCCUAUUUAAAUGCAUAACGAUUUUUUUUCCCAUCAUGUCCUGGUUUACCCAUGUCAGAUUUGUUCCUUCCGGAACUCUUGGUCCUUCAUAUCUAAAGUUUACAUGUACUGUACAAGCUCUACUUUAUGCUAAUACUUGCCUUUGUAACAUUUUGCAUUGCAUACUUCUAAAUGGACAAGUACAUGCGAUGUCCAUCAUGAACGAUGAUGCAGACUAGAUCUACAACUACAGAACCAUCCAUCACAUAAACACAAAGUCAGAUGUUUUGCAUCAGGAAGAAGCAGUACUUGAGGAAGCAGAUUACAUGUUUUCCCGCCAUGAAGCACUAGAUAGGCUUGUUCUAUUUAUUUUUGCUGUUCUAGAGUAUUUCAGCAGCUGAAUGCUUGACUACAACAUGUUGUAGGUUGCUUGGAUCUGUAUAAAAUACGUAUGUGAUGGAAAUUUGUAGAAUGUGCGUUCUGAGAUAUUUCCGUAAUAUUCAGCUAAUUGGUGGUAACUUGAUUCA